UACGUAGGGUGCGAGCGUUAAUCGGAAUUACUGGGCGUAAAGCGUGCGUAGGCGGCUCCGCAAGUCCGCUGUGAAAUCCCCGGGCUUAACCUGGGAAUGGCAGUGGAAACUAUGGAACUUGAAUCCGGCAGAGGGGGGUGGAAUGCCACGUGUAGCAGUGAAAUGCGUAGAGAUGUGGCGGAACACCGAUGGCGAAGGCAGCCCCCUGGGCCGAGAUUGACGCUCAGGCACGAAAGCGUGGGGAGCAAACAGG
This 253-nucleotide ribosomal RNA is filed under the name uncultured bacterium. RNAcentral describes it as "partial 16S ribosomal RNA". It matches the Rfam family "Bacterial small subunit ribosomal RNA", at positions 524 to 776 of the family's 1533-position model. The record is from RNAcentral.